AGAUGAAAAUGAGAGUGAGAAUGGGAGUAAGGAUGAGAUUGAGAGAGAGGAUAAGAGGGGAGGAUGGGAGGGAGUUGUAACAAAAGUGAAAACAAAAACUUGAGUGUGAAAACAAUUUCAAAUAGAUUUCAGUUUUUAGUUUUUGUUUUCACUAUUGUUACUUCUUCCUCCCAUCCUCCUCUCUCAUAUUCCCUC
RNAcentral lists this microRNA precursor (195 nucleotides) under Prunus dulcis (almond). Its description in RNAcentral is "sRNA ncRNA". Lineage: Eukaryota; Viridiplantae; Streptophyta; Magnoliopsida; Rosales; Rosaceae. The record is from RNAcentral.